UGGGGAAUAUUGCACAAUGGAGGGAACUCUGAUGCAGCGACGCCGCGUGAACGAAGAAGGCUUUCGAGUCGUAAAGUUCUUUUAUAUGGGAAGAUAAUGACGGUACCAUAAGAAAAAGCCCCGGCUAACUACGUGCCAGCAGCCGCGGUAAUACGUAGGGGGCUAGCGUUUUCCGGAAUCAAUGGGCGUAAAGGGUUCGCAGGCGGAAAUGCAAGUCAGAUGUAAAAGGCAGUAGCUUAACUACUGUAAGCAUUUGAAACUGCAUAUCUUGAGAAGAGUAGAAGUAAGUGGAAUUUUUAGUGUAGAGGUGAAAUGCGGAGAUAUUAAAAAGAAUACCGGUGGCGAAGGCGACUUACUGGGAUCAUUCUGACGCUGAGGAACGAAAGCGUGGGUAGCAAACAGG
This 403-nucleotide ribosomal RNA is filed under the name Fusobacteriota bacterium. RNAcentral describes it as "Fusobacteria bacterium partial 16S ribosomal RNA". It matches the Rfam family "Bacterial small subunit ribosomal RNA", at positions 355 to 776 of the family's 1533-position model. The record is from RNAcentral. Lineage: Bacteria; Fusobacteriati; Fusobacteriota.